This 255-nucleotide ribosomal RNA is filed under the name Vibrio parahaemolyticus. Its description in RNAcentral is "partial 23S ribosomal RNA". It matches the Rfam family "Bacterial large subunit ribosomal RNA", at positions 1010 to 1266 of the family's 2925-position model. The record is from RNAcentral. Lineage: Bacteria; Pseudomonadati; Pseudomonadota; Gammaproteobacteria; Vibrionales; Vibrionaceae.
GUGGAGAGGGAAACAACCCAGACCGCCAGCUAAGGUCCCAAAUUAUAGCUAAGUGGGAAACGAUGUGGGAAGGCUUAGACAGCUAGGAUGUUGGCUUAGAAGCAGCCAUCAUUUAAAGAAAGCGUAAUAGCUCACUAGUCGAGUCGGCCUGCGCGGAAGAUGUAACGGGGCUAAGCUAUAAACCGAAGCUGCGGCAAUGAAGUUUACUUCAUUGGGUAGGGGAGCGUUCUGUAAGCCGUUGAAGGUGUGUUGUAA